RNAcentral lists this ribosomal RNA (253 nucleotides) under uncultured bacterium. Its description in RNAcentral is "partial 16S ribosomal RNA". It matches the Rfam family "Bacterial small subunit ribosomal RNA", at positions 524 to 776 of the family's 1533-position model. The record is from RNAcentral.
UACAGAGGGGGCUAGCGUUAUUCGGAAUUAUUGGGCGUAAAGGGCGCGUAGGCGGCCAUGCGUGUCUUCCGUGAAAUCCCUCGGCUUAACUGAGGACGUGCGGAAGAAACUGCAAGGCUCGAGUCCGGGAGAGGGGGGUGGAAUUCCCAGUGUAGCGGUGAAAUGCGUAGAUAUUGGGAGGAACACCGGUGGCGAAGGCGGCCCCCUGGACCGGUACUGACGCUGAGGCGCGAAAGCCAGGGGAGCAAACGGG